This 2923-nucleotide ribosomal RNA is filed under the name Klebsiella pneumoniae. Its description in RNAcentral is "23S ribosomal RNA". It matches the Rfam family "Bacterial large subunit ribosomal RNA". The record is from RNAcentral. Lineage: Bacteria; Pseudomonadati; Pseudomonadota; Gammaproteobacteria; Enterobacterales; Enterobacteriaceae.
GGGUUGUGAGGUUAAGCGACUAAGCGUACACGGUGGAUGCCCUGGCAGUCAGAGGCGAUGAAGGACGUGCUAAUCUGCGAAAAGCGUCGGUAAGGUGAUAUGAACCGUUAUAACCGGCGAUGUCCGAAUGGGGAAACCCAGUGCAAUUCGUUGCACUAUCGUUAACUGAAUACAUAGGUUAACGAGGCGAACCGGGGGAACUGAAACAUCUAAGUACCCCGAGGAAAAGAAAUCAACCGAGAUUCCCCCAGUAGCGGCGAGCGAACGGGGAGCAGCCCAGAGUCUGAAUCAGCUUGUGUGUUAGUGGAACGGUCUGGAAAGUCCGACGGUACAGGGUGAUAGUCCCGUACACCAAAAUGCACAGGCUGUGAACUCGAAGAGUAGGGCGGGACACGUGGUAUCCUGUCUGAAUAUGGGGGGACCAUCCUCCAAGGCUAAAUACUCCUGACUGACCGAUAGUGAACCAGUACCGUGAGGGAAAGGCGAAAAGAACCCCGGCGAGGGGAGUGAAAAAGAACCUGAAACCGUGUACGUACAAGCAGUGGGAGCACCUUCGGGUGUGACUGCGUACCUUUUGUAUAAUGGGUCAGCGACUUAUAUUCUGUAGCAAGGUUAACCGUAUAGGGGAGCCGCAGGGAAACCGAGUCUUAACUGGGCGUUAAGUUGCAGGGUAUAGACCCGAAACCCGGUGAUCUAGCCAUGGGCAGGUUGAAGGUUGGGUAACACUAACUGGAGGACCGAACCGACUAAUGUUGAAAAAUUAGCGGAUGACUUGUGGCUGGGGGUGAAAGGCCAAUCAAACCGGGAGAUAGCUGGUUCUCCCCGAAAGCUAUUUAGGUAGCGCCUCGUGAAUUCAUCUUCGGGGGUAGAGCACUGUUUCGGCUAGGGGGUCAUCCCGACUUACCAACCCGAUGCAAACUACGAAUACCGAAGAAUGUUAUCACGGGAGACACACGGCGGGUGCUAACGUCCGUCGUGAAGAGGGAAACAACCCAGACCGCCAGCUAAGGUCCCAAAGUCAUGGUUAAGUGGGAAACGAUGUGGGAAGGCACAGACAGCCAGGAUGUUGGCUUAGAAGCAGCCAUCAUUUAAAGAAAGCGUAAUAGCUCACUGGUCGAGUCGGCCUGCGCGGAAGAUGUAACGGGGCUAAACCAUGCACCGAAGCUGCGGCAGCGACACUAUGUGUUGUUGGGUAGGGGAGCGUUCUGUAAGCCUGCGAAGGUGACCUGUGAGGGUUGCUGGAGGUAUCAGAAGUGCGAAUGCUGACAUAAGUAACGAUAAAGCGGGUGAAAAGCCCGCUCGCCGGAAGACCAAGGGUUCCUGUCCAACGUUAAUCGGGGCAGGGUGAGUCGACCCCUAAGGCGAGGCCGAAAGGCGUAGUCGAUGGGAAACAGGUUAAUAUUCCUGUACUUGGUGUUACUGCGAAGGGGGGACGGAGAAGGCUAUGUUAGCCGGGCGACGGUUGUCCCGGUUUAAGCAUGUAGGCUGGUUAUCCAGGCAAAUCCGGAUAAUCAAGGCUGAGGUGUGAUGACGAGGCACUACGGUGCUGAAGUAACAAAUGCCCUGCUUCCAGGAAAAGCCUCUAAGCAUCAGGUAACAUUAAAUCGUACCCCAAACCGACACAGGUGGUCAGGUAGAGAAUACCAAGGCGCUUGAGAGAACUCGGGUGAAGGAACUAGGCAAAAUGGUGCCGUAACUUCGGGAGAAGGCACGCUGGUGUGUAGGUGAAGUCCCUGCGGAUGGAGCUGAGACCAGUCGAAGAUACCAGCUGGCUGCAACUGUUUAUUAAAAACACAGCACUGUGCAAACACGAAAGUGGACGUAUACGGUGUGACGCCUGCCCGGUGCCGGAAGGUUAAUUGAUGGGGUUAUCCGUAAGGAGAAGCUCUUGAUCGAAGCCCCGGUAAACGGCGGCCGUAACUAUAACGGUCCUAAGGUAGCGAAAUUCCUUGUCGGGUAAGUUCCGACCUGCACGAAUGGCGUAAUGAUGGCCAGGCUGUCUCCACCCGAGACUCAGUGAAAUUGAACUCGCUGUGAAGAUGCAGUGUACCCGCGGCAAGACGGAAAGACCCCGUGAACCUUUACUAUAGCUUGACACUGAACAUUGAGCCUUGAUGUGUAGGAUAGGUGGGAGGCUUUGAAGCGUGGACGCCAGUCUGCGUGGAGCCAACCUUGAAAUACCACCCUUUAAUGUUUGAUGUUCUAACGUUGGCCCCUGACCGGGGUUGCGGACAGUGUCUGGUGGGUAGUUUGACUGGGGCGGUCUCCUCCCAAAGCGUAACGGAGGAGCACGAAGGUUAGCUAAUCCUGGUCGGACAUCAGGAGGUUAGUGCAAUGGCAUAAGCUAGCUUGACUGCGAGCGUGACGGCGCGAGCAGGUGCGAAAGCAGGUCAUAGUGAUCCGGUGGUUCUGAAUGGAAGGGCCAUCGCUCAACGGAUAAAAGGUACUCCGGGGAUAACAGGCUGAUACCGCCCAAGAGUUCAUAUCGACGGCGGUGUUUGGCACCUCGAUGUCGGCUCAUCACAUCCUGGGGCUGAAGUAGGUCCCAAGGGUAUGGCUGUUCGCCAUUUAAAGUGGUACGCGAGCUGGGUUUAGAACGUCGUGAGACAGUUCGGUCCCUAUCUGCCGUGGGCGCUGGAGAAUUGAGGGGGGCUGCUCCUAGUACGAGAGGACCGGAGUGGACGCAUCACUGGUGUUCGGGUUGUCAUGCCAAUGGCACUGCCCGGUAGCUAAAUGCGGAAGAGAUAAGUGCUGAAAGCAUCUAAGCACGAAACUUGCCCCGAGAUGAGUUCUCCCUGAGACUUUAAGUCUCCUGAAGGAACGUUAAAGACGAUGACGUUGAUAGGCCGGGUGUGUAAGCGCAGCGAUGCGUUGAGCUAACCGGUACUAAUGAACCGUGAGGCUUAACCUUACAACGCCGAAG